GCCUCGGUAGCUCAGUUCGUAGAGCAAAGGACUGAAAAUCCUUGUGUCCACAGUUCGAUUCUGUGCUGAGGCACCA
RNAcentral lists this transfer RNA (76 nucleotides) under Candidatus Fusicatenibacter intestinipullorum. RNAcentral describes it as "tRNA-Phe". It matches the Rfam family "tRNA". Rfam says of the family: Transfer RNA (tRNA) molecules are approximately 80 nucleotides in length. Their secondary structure includes four short double-helical elements and three loops (D, anti-codon, and T loops). Lineage: Bacteria; Bacillati; Bacillota; Clostridia; Lachnospirales; Lachnospiraceae. The record is from RNAcentral.